GAUGAACGCUGGCGGCGUGCCUAAUACAUGCAAGUCGAGCGAACGGACGAGAAGCUUGCUUCUCUGAUGUUAGCGGCGGACGGGUGAGUAACACGUGGAUAACCUACCUAUAAGACUGGGAUAACUUCGGGAAACCGUAGCUUAUACCGGAUAAUAUUUUGAACCGCAUGGUUCAAAAGUGAAAGACGGUCUUGCUGUCACUUAUAGAUGGAUCCGCGCUGCAUUAGCUAGUUGGUAAGGUAACGGGUUAUCAAGGCAACGAUGCAUAGCCGACCUGAGAGGGUGAUCGGCCACACUGGAACUGAGACACGGUCCAGACUCCUACGGGAGGCAGCAGUAGGGAAUCUUCCGCAAUGGGCGAAAGCCUGACGGAGCAACGCCGCGUGAGUGAUGAAGGUCUUCGGAUCGUAAAACUCUGUUAUUAGGGAAGAACAUAUGUGUAAGUAACUGUGCACAUCUUGACGGUACCUAAUCAGAAAGCCACGGCUAACUACGUG
This 497-nucleotide ribosomal RNA is filed under the name uncultured bacterium. Its description in RNAcentral is "partial 16S ribosomal RNA". It matches the Rfam family "Bacterial small subunit ribosomal RNA", at positions 28 to 507 of the family's 1533-position model. The record is from RNAcentral.